Long non-coding RNA from Astatotilapia calliptera (eastern happy), 1375 nucleotides. The record is from Ensembl. NCBI's taxonomy places the organism in Eukaryota, Metazoa, Chordata, Actinopteri, Cichliformes, Cichlidae.
GGUUAGUAGGCGGCAAUACCUUCAUCUUCAUAGUACAGAAACAGUUGCAUACUUUGAUCUCUUCAGUUUGUUUACUUGUAAGUUUGUGAAAGUAGAUGUGAACGGAUUGUGGCUGCAUAUUCAUAGGCUUUUUACGUGUUAUGAUACUAAUUUAAAGGCUUGUAAACAGAUCUUGUGAUUGUUGAGAUAGUAUGGAUAGCUGUUACAUCCUGUCUUCAGUCUUUAUGCUACAUAAUUAAGUUUGUAAGCUGUUUUUUUUUUUUUUUAAAUAUAGUAUUCCAUCUAUCAUCCAGGAAGAAUAUAACGAAGCAUAAUGAAAUUAAACUCAACUCAAUUUUUUUGUAAACCAAGAUUAAAGGAGUGGUUUUCACUGUAGUAAAACCACAGCUGUCAAUGUAUUUGGGUCGCACCUCUUAUGCACUCUUAUUAAUGUAAGUAAGUUUCGUGUUGAUAAUGACUUGCAUGUUGUGGACAUGACUUGCAGUUUCCUGUUAGUAAGAAAACACAGCUGGCAGUCUGUUAUUGCCACAUCUUUGUCCACAGCAGUUCUAGUGAGCAUCAGCUUUCUGUUCGUUUCUUUUGUCAGCCAUGGACAAAACUGUGCUGCUCCUGUUGUGCCUGCAGGUUGUUCUGCUCAUCACUGCCUUUCCUUCAGACGCAGCUGGUCAAGUCGUAGUGAGAGGUCCAGAUCAGGUAAAAAGAUCCGCAACAGCAAUCAAAAAGGUGGCAAACAGGACGGUCAACCCACCAAACCAAGAACAACAGAAGAGAAGGUGUUCCAUUAGACGUGGAGGGUGCGGCCCAAUGGGCCAGUAGUUUACCCAUCACACAUCGCUGCGGCCAGAAACUCCUUCCUGCAUUUUUCCAUUGACCUGGGUGCUUCAAUAAUCUACGCAUAUAAACUAUCACAACAACAGAUUCUCUGCAAACAUGUUGCAACAUUGCAGUUGGUGCAGAAGUCACCUCGCAUACAGACAGAUGCUAAAUUUGAACCAGCUCACUGGACUUCUCUGAGAAGUCAGAAAUUAAACACAAACAACAUUCAACCACUAAAACUAAUUUUGGAAGUAAAUAUAAGGCGGAGUAUUAGGGCCACAUUAAGAAAAUAAAAUAUUUUGAUCAAUUUGAGAAUAAAGUCAAAAUUUCACGAUUAAAAUCGAAAAUCUAUUUUGAGAAAAGCAUCAAAAUGUGGAGAUUACUUUUGUUGUUUCAAGACAAACUGCCACGUUUCUUAUACCUUUGUGUAGAUGAGUUAGCCAUUUCACAUUACACGAAUGCAACCAUCUGCACCAUCUUUUCAACAUCCUUUUACAUAUCACCAUAAUAUGUUUGUGUGCUAAAAAAGAAAUCAUUUCCUUCUUUGUUACUUAAGUCG